This 281-nucleotide ribosomal RNA is filed under the name uncultured prokaryote. Its description in RNAcentral is "partial 16S ribosomal RNA". It matches the Rfam family "Bacterial small subunit ribosomal RNA", at positions 524 to 803 of the family's 1533-position model. The record is from RNAcentral.
UACGUAGGGGCUAGCGUUAUCCGGAAUUACUGGGCGUAAAGGGUGCGUAGGUGGUUUCUUAAGUCAGAGGUGAAAGGCUACGGCUCAACCGUAGUAAGCCUUUGAAACUGGGAAACUUGAGUGCAGGAGAGGAGAGUGGAAUUCCUAGUGUAGCGGUGAAAUGCAUAGAUAUUAGGAGGAACACCAGUUGCGAAGGCGGCUCUCUGGACUGUAACUGACACUGAGGCACGAAAGCGUGGGGAGCAAAACAGGAUUAGAUACCCCCGUAGUCCCUGAGCGGG